Molecule: long non-coding RNA, 321 nt
Organism: Pristis pectinata (smalltooth sawfish)
Lineage: Eukaryota; Metazoa; Chordata; Chondrichthyes; Rhinopristiformes; Pristidae
Exons: 3
Source: RefSeq, a predicted model, not a curated record
CGCAUUACUCGAGCAAGCAAAGCAACAAUUCCACCUGACACUCAGUGAACGGGAUCGGCAAGGAGUGGAGAUGGCUUCACAAAGGAAAUGCAAAGAUGAUAUUUCCACUGCCUGGGGAAUUCAGAAGCAGGAGUCACAGUCUCAAAUAUUGUCACUCAGGACAAAGAUGAGAAAGAUUUCUUUUCCCCCAGAGAUGCUGCCUGACCUGCUGAAUAUCUCCAACAUUUUCUGUUUCUAUUUUUAAUAAACCAUAUGAUAAAAGUAUUCACUAGUUGAUGUUGACAUCAUAACAAAUAAUAAAGCAGCUAUAAGAUGUUUCAA